Molecule: ribosomal RNA, 241 nt
Filed under: uncultured bacterium
Lineage: Bacteria
Description: partial 16S ribosomal RNA
Rfam family: Bacterial small subunit ribosomal RNA
Source: RNAcentral
CACGCCUUAAACGAUGAAUACUAGACGUUGGGGUUAAACUCAGUGUCGCAGCUAACGCAUUAAGUAUUCCACCUGGGGAGUACGAUCGCAAGGUUGAAACUCAAAGGAAUUGACGGGGGCCCGCACAAGCAGUGGAGCAUGUGGUUCAAUUCGAUGCAACGCGAAGAACCUUACCUAGGCUUGACAUGCUAGCUAAAGCCGGUGAAAGCCGGUGUCCAGCAAUGGGAGCUAGUACAGAUGC